Molecule: ribosomal RNA, 253 nt
Filed under: uncultured bacterium
Lineage: Bacteria
Description: partial 16S ribosomal RNA
Rfam family: Bacterial small subunit ribosomal RNA
Source: RNAcentral
UACGUAGGAUCCGAGCGUUAUCCGGAUUUAUUGGGUUUAAAGGGAGCGUAGGUGGAUUGUUAAGUCAGUUGUGAAAGUUUGCGGCUCAACCGUAAAAUUGCAGUUGAAACUGGCAGUCUUGAGUACAGUAGAGGUGGGCGGAAUUCGUGGUGUAGCGGUGAAAUGCUUAGAUAUCACGAAGAACUCCGAUUGCGAAGGCAGCUCACUGGACUGCAACUGACACCGAGGCUCGAAAGUGUGGGUAUCAAACAGG